GGUUAUGGCUCAGUGGUACAGCACUUGCCUAGCAUGUGUGAUGCCCUGCGUUCAAUCCUCAGCACCA
This 67-nucleotide transfer RNA is filed under the name Marmota monax (woodchuck). RNAcentral describes it as "tRNA.Ala". Lineage: Eukaryota; Metazoa; Chordata; Mammalia; Rodentia; Sciuridae. The record is from RNAcentral.